GCCUCUGUGGCUCAGUGGUAGAGCGCGUCCUUGGUAAGGACGAGGUCGCGAGUUCGAUUCUCGCCAGGGGCU
RNAcentral lists this transfer RNA (72 nucleotides) under Candidatus Woesearchaeota archaeon. Its description in RNAcentral is "tRNA-Thr". It matches the Rfam family "tRNA". Rfam says of the family: Transfer RNA (tRNA) molecules are approximately 80 nucleotides in length. Lineage: Archaea; Nanobdellati; Candidatus Woesearchaeota. The record is from RNAcentral.